This 496-nucleotide ribosomal RNA is filed under the name uncultured bacterium. Its description in RNAcentral is "partial 16S ribosomal RNA". It matches the Rfam family "Bacterial small subunit ribosomal RNA", at positions 29 to 507 of the family's 1533-position model. The record is from RNAcentral.
AUGAACGCUGGCGGCGUGCCUAAUACAUGCAAGUCGAGCGAACGGACGAGAAGCUUGCUUCUCUGAUGUUAGCGGCGGACGGGUGAGUAACACGUGGAUAACCUACCUAUAAGACUGGGAUAACUUCGGGAAACCGGCGCUAAUACCUGAUAAUAUUUUGAACCGCAUGGUUCAAAAGUGAAAGACGGUCUUGCUGUCACUUAUAGAUGGAUCCGCGCUGCAUUAGCUAGUUGGUAAGGUAACGGCUUACCAAGGCAACGAUGCAUAGCCGACCUGAGAGGGUGAUCGGCCACACUGGAACUGAGACACGGUCCAGACUCCUACGGGAGGCAGCAGUAGGGAAUCUUCCGCAAUGGGCGAAAGCCUGACGGAGCAACGCCGCGUGAGUGAUGAAGGUCUUCGGAUCGUAAAACUCUGUUAUUAGGGAAGAACAUAUGUGUAAGUAACUGUGCACAUCUUGACGGUACCUAAUCAGAAAGCCACGGCUAACUACGUG